CAGUAGCCGCGGUAAUACGUAGGUGGCAAGCGUUGUCCGGAUUUAUUGGGCGUAAAGCGAGCGCAGGCGGUUCCUUAAGUCUGAUGUGAAAGCCCCCGGCUCAACCGGGGAGGGUCAUUGGAAACUGGGGAACUUGAGUGCAGAAGAGGAGAGUGGAAUUCCAUGUGUAGCGGUGAAAUGCGUAGAUAUAUGGAGGAACACCAGUGGCGAGGGCGACUCUCUGGUCUGUAACUGACGCUGAGGCUCGAAAGCGUGGGUAGCAAACAGGAUUAGAUACCCCAGUAGUCCCUGUCUCUUAUAC
This 301-nucleotide ribosomal RNA is filed under the name uncultured bacterium. Its description in RNAcentral is "partial 16S ribosomal RNA". It matches the Rfam family "Bacterial small subunit ribosomal RNA", at positions 509 to 807 of the family's 1533-position model. The record is from RNAcentral.